UGGGUCCCGGUUCGUGAAUGAACCGGGACUAAUGAGAUUUCAUCAAGUGGACCAAAGCCCUCUUUUCUGCUAGUGUUAUUAGAGUUUUACAGAUUGCAUUGUUCAGAUUGAUGUGUUAUGUACGCUUGUAGUAUUAUUUUUAGCAACAUACAGGGAAUUUUUUUGAUCUUUGGAUAUAUAUGGGAUUGACAUUAAAAUGUUGAAUUCCGAAAUUGUUACAUAAGGAACUACCAGCAUAAGUUAGUUUUCAAGUUUGGAAGUGUUAUCACCCCGUAUUGCAUGUGCAUUGUUUUUUUAAGGGAAAAGCCUCUUUGUAUUUUAUUUCUCGGCUAAAAGAGUUACAUCAUUUAUUACAUAAGGAAGAAUAAAAUUGGAUGGAUCGUCAUCCCAUUCAAAAGCAAACUGUGUACCAUAAGAGUGUUUUGCCAGAUGGUGAGCAACUCGAUUUGCUUCCCGUGGACUGUGUUUGAAAGACAUUCUGUUGAUCAUCUUUGCUCUUGCAAAACAAUCAGCUAAGGUCGCAGUGUAAGGAUAAAAGAUUUCCAGCUCCCAAAGAAUCAGACUCGUAAGUGAUAUUGAUGUAGCACAACUUCUCAACUAGCUUUAGUCCUUUUAGCAUGG
This 621-nucleotide long non-coding RNA is filed under the name Hordeum vulgare. RNAcentral describes it as "long non-coding RNA (HVUL_LNC008654)". Lineage: Eukaryota; Viridiplantae; Streptophyta; Magnoliopsida; Poales; Poaceae. The record is from RNAcentral.